CCUGACGCAGCAACGCCGCGUGCGGGAUGACGGCCUUCGGGUUGUAAACCGCUUUCAGCAGGGACGAAGCAACACGUGACGGUACCUGCAGAAGAAGCACCGGCCAACUACGUGCCAGCAGCCGCGGUGAUACGUAGGGUGCGAGCGUUGUCCGGAAUUAUUGGGCGUAAAGAGCUUGUAGGCGGUCUAUUGCGUCGAAAGUGAAAACUCAGGGCUCAACCCUGAGCCUGCUCUCGAUACGGGUAGACUUGAGGGAUGUAGGGGAGAACGGAAUUCUUGGUGGAGCGGUGGAAUGCGCAGAUAUCAGGAGGAACACCGGUGGCGAAGGCGGUUCUCUGGACAUUUCCUGACGCUGAGAAGCGAAAGCGUGGGUAGCAAACAGGCUUAGAUACCCUGGUAGUCCACGCCGUAAACGGUGGGUACUAGGUGUGGGGGACAUUCCACGUUCUCCGUGCCGCAGCUAACGCAUUAAGUACCCCGCCUGGGGAGUACGGCCGCAAGGCUAAAACUCAAAGGAAUUGACGGGGCCCCGCACAAGCGGCGGAGCAUGCGGAUUAAUUCGAUGCAACGCGAAGAACCUUACCUGGGUUUGACAUAUGCCGGAAAGGCCUAGAGAUAGGCCCCCCCUUGUGGU
This 634-nucleotide ribosomal RNA is filed under the name Propionibacteriaceae bacterium Se1Pw_3130. RNAcentral's name for it is "bacterial SSU rRNA". It matches the Rfam family "Bacterial small subunit ribosomal RNA", at positions 382 to 1025 of the family's 1533-position model. The record is from RNAcentral. Lineage: Bacteria; Bacillati; Actinomycetota; Actinomycetes; Propionibacteriales; Propionibacteriaceae.